CGGCAGCAUGAUCUANCUGGCUCGAUUGAUGGCGAGUGGCGAACGGGUGAGUAAUACAUCGGAACGUGCCCUGUAGUGGGGGAUAACUAGUCGAAAGAUUAGCUAAUACCGCAACGACCUGAGGGUGAAAGUGGGGGACCGCAAGGCCUCAUGCUAUAGGAGCGGCCGAUGUCUGAUUAGCUAGUUGGUGGGGUAAAGGCCCACCAAGGCGACGAUGAGUAGCUGGUCUGAGAGGACGAUCAGCCACACUGGGACUGAGACACGGCCCAGACUCCUACGGGAGGCAGCAGUGGGGAAUUUUGGACAAUGGGCGAAAGCCUGAUCCAGCAAUGCCGCGUGUGUGAAGAAGGCCUUCGGGUUGUAAAGCACUUUUGUCCGGAAAGAAAUGGCUCUGGUUAAUACCUGGGGUCGAUGACGGUACCGGAAGAAUAAGGACCGGCUAACUACGUGCCAGCAGCCGCGGUAAUACGUAGGGUCCAAGCGUUAAUCGGAAUUACUGGGCGUAAAGCGUGCGCAGGCGGUUGUGCAAGACCGAUGUGAAAUCCCCGAGCUUAACUUGGGAAUUGCAUUGGUGACUGCACGGCUAGAGUGUGUCAGAGGGGGGUAGAAUUCACGUGUAGCAGUGAAAUGCGUAGAGAUGUGGAGGAAUACCGAUGGCGAAGGCAGCCCCUUGGGAUAACACUGACGCUCAUGCACGAAGCGUGGGGAGCAAACAGGAUAGAUACCCUGGUAGUCCCACGCCCUAAACGAUGUCAACUAGUUGUUGGGGAUUCAUUUCCUUAGUAACGUAGCUAACGCGUGAAGUUGACCGCCUGGGGAGUACGGUCGCAAGAUUAAAACUCAAAGGAAUUGACGGGGACCCGCACAAGCGGUGGAUGAUGUGGAUUAAUUCGAUGCAACGCGAAAAACCUUACCUACCCUUGACAUGCCACUAACGAAGCAGAGAUGCAUUAGGUGCUCGAAAGAGAAAGUGGACACAGGUGCUGCAUGGCUGUCGUCAGCUCGUGUCGUGAGAUGUUGGGUUAAGUCCCGCAACGAGCGCAACCCUUGUCUCUAGUUGCUACGAAAGGGCACUCUAGAGAGACUGCCGGUGACAAACCGGAGGAAGGUGGGGAUGACGUCAAGUCCUCAUGGCCCUUAUGGGUAGGGCUUCACACGUCAUACAAUGGUGCAUACAGAGGGUUGCCAAGCCGCGAGGUGGAGCUAAUCCCAGAAAAUGCAUCGUAGUCCGGAUCGUAGUCUGCAACUCGACUACGUGAAGCUGGAAUCGCUUGUAAUCGCGGAUCAGCAUGCCGCGGUGAAUACGUUCCCGGGUCUUGUACACACCGCCCGUCACACCAUGGGAGUGGGCUUUUUCAGAAGUACUUAGCCUAACCGCAAGCAGCGCGUUACCCCGUAGAGUUCCCCCCCC
This 1411-nucleotide ribosomal RNA is filed under the name Ralstonia pickettii. Its description in RNAcentral is "bacterial SSU rRNA". It matches the Rfam family "Bacterial small subunit ribosomal RNA". The record is from RNAcentral. Lineage: Bacteria; Pseudomonadati; Pseudomonadota; Betaproteobacteria; Burkholderiales; Burkholderiaceae.